Medicago truncatula (barrel medic) is the source of this 229-nucleotide microRNA precursor. It matches the Rfam family "MIR2630 microRNA precursor family". NCBI's taxonomy places the organism in Eukaryota, Viridiplantae, Streptophyta, Magnoliopsida, Fabales, Fabaceae. The record is from Rfam.
CCUUGUAAAUAUAAAAUAUUUGGUUUUGGUCUUUGGUAUUUUGUUUUAAUCUUUGUAAAAUCAUUUCAUAUUGAAAUUGGUCCUUAUAAUAUUCAUUUUAGUCUUCAUUUUGAGGGACUAAAAUCAAAUAUUCUAUAUACUACAAGGACUAAAUUCAAUAUGAAUCAAUUUUACAAGGACAAAAACAAAAUAUCAAGGACCAAAACCAAAUUUUUUAUAUUUGCAGGGA